GCCCGGGUGGCGAAAUUGGUAGACGCAGGGGAUUCAAAAUCCCCCGCCGCAAGGCGUGUCGGUUCGAGUCCGACCCCGGGCACCA
RNAcentral lists this transfer RNA (85 nucleotides) under Chromobacterium piscinae. RNAcentral describes it as "tRNA-Leu". It matches the Rfam family "tRNA". From Rfam's summary of the family: Transfer RNA (tRNA) molecules are approximately 80 nucleotides in length. Their secondary structure includes four short double-helical elements and three loops (D, anti-codon, and T loops). The record is from RNAcentral. Lineage: Bacteria; Pseudomonadati; Pseudomonadota; Betaproteobacteria; Neisseriales; Chromobacteriaceae. RNAcentral also lists the same sequence under 1 other name.